GAGGGUAUAGCUCAGUGGUAGAAUGUGCACUUAGUAUGUGUGAGGUCCUGGGUUCAAUCCCCAGUACCUCCA
Molecule: transfer RNA, 72 nt
Filed under: Camelus bactrianus (Bactrian camel)
Lineage: Eukaryota; Metazoa; Chordata; Mammalia; Artiodactyla; Camelidae
Also listed under: 3 other names
Rfam family: tRNA
About the family: Transfer RNA (tRNA) molecules are approximately 80 nucleotides in length. Their secondary structure includes four short double-helical elements and three loops (D, anti-codon, and T loops). Further hydrogen bonds mediate the characteristic L-shaped molecular structure. tRNAs have two regions of fundamental functional importance: the anti-codon, which is responsible for specific mRNA codon recognition, and the 3' end, to which the tRNAs corresponding amino acid is attached (by aminoacyl-tRNA synthetases). tRNAs cope with the degeneracy of the genetic code in two manners: having more than one tRNA (with a specific anti-codon) for a particular amino acid; and 'wobble' base-pairing, i.e. permitting non-standard base-pairing at the 3rd anti-codon position.
Source: Rfam by way of RNAcentral